GGAGUCCAGAAUCCCAAAGAAGCUUCAGGACUUUGAAAGCAGGAGUAUCAUCAGCAAGCACUAUCAUCCAUCUUGAGACCUGAGAAUUUUUAAGGGCUUGAGGAUUUAAUCUCCCGUCCAGACGCAAGAUAAUGUCAAGAUCUUCGAGAGCACAGUCUGUUCGAGGUCUACUCCCUGGGCACAGCAGCAGCCUUGAGACAGCUGAGAUGACGUACCUGUCUCUUGAAAACCCUACUUACCAGCACCGCCGCAGGAGAUAUGUGUUAACCAAUGAAGGAAGCAACAACUUGCCACGGUCUGAGCAGGGAUGAAGCUCUUAAUGAAGGAGGAAACAGAAGUGCUAUGGGUGCUAACAGGGUUUUCUUAAAAAUAAAUUUUAAUAUUUUU
This 387-nucleotide long non-coding RNA is filed under the name Lepisosteus oculatus (spotted gar). RNAcentral's name for it is "lncRNA (ENSLOCG00000021220.1)". Lineage: Eukaryota; Metazoa; Chordata; Actinopteri; Semionotiformes; Lepisosteidae. The record is from RNAcentral.